AUCCACCACAGCAGGGAAAAGCAAAGCCGGAAGUCCCCUCGCCGUGCCACGGAGAUGCCGUCGAGGGGCUGCUUCCGUCCCAGGACGUCGCGCGCGCCUCUCCCCUCGCGGCGCGGUCAAGGCCCGGCUCCCCGGUCUCACGGCUCCUGAAGCCAGGCUCCCCUCGUCCGCAAGGUGUGUGUCAGGUGUUCUCAACCGCCGGGCCGGGCGAGGCGCCGUGGGGGAGACGGGCCGAGCAGAGGGCCCGGCGGCCCAGGUUUUCAGCGCCAGGAGCUCGUCGGGAGUUGCGGCCCGUGCGCAGACCGGCGAGGCGCGCGGCGCGGAGAGGGGCCGGCUGCCCUAGAGGGUGACAGGGCCUUCCGGAGAGGACCCUCGGGGAGAGAGCCGGAGGAGAGAUGGAGCUUGGAGUGUGCUGAGGUUUCAGGCUCUUACCUUCAGAUGGUGAAAAAGAGGCUUGGGAAUCUACCUGGCUCUGCCUCAGCCGGAUCUAAGAGUCUAAAGGUACCUAUCACGAACUCCUAAAGGUAAGGCAGAUGUGUUUAUUCUGUUAUUUCAUGUUUUAAUUAGCUACUAUAGUGUGUACAGUUCACUGGCAUUCAGCACACUCACUAUGUUGUGCAACCACCACCUCUGCCUGGUUCCAAAGCGUGUUCACACUCCAAAAGGAAUUCCCUGGCCCCUACGCAGUCACUCUCUCUUCCUCCUCUCACCAGACCCUGGCAACAACUAACCUGCUUUCUGGAUGUUUCAUUUAAAUGGAAUCAUGUGAUAGGCGAACUUCUAUGUUCAGCUUCUUUCACUUUAUUUUUAAGGCUCACCCAUGUUGUAGCAUGUAUCAGUAGGUCGUGGCUUUUUAUGGCUGCAUAAUAGUCCAUGGUAGGGAGAUCCCACUUUUGUUUAUCCAUUCACCCAUUGAGGGACACUUGGGUUGUUUCCACAUUUUGGCUGUUGUGAAUUGUGCUGUUAUGAACAUUGGUGUACACGUUUUGGGUUGAGCACCUGUUUUCAGUUCUAUUGGGUAUAGACCUAGGAGUAGAAUUUCUGGGUCGUAUGGUGAUUUUGAGGAACUGCCAUACUGUUGUCCAAAGGGGCUGAGCUGUUCUACUUUCCCACCAGCAACGAGUCGUAUUUUCUUUUCCUAUCUGCCUCAGCACUACUGCCUGGUACAUAAAGAGAAGUUGGAUGCCUGGCACUGUGAGGAAUCUCUUUUCCUAGGCUCUGCUUGAUAUUCAUGCCAACCUAAGUACUAAGGUUGAUAUUAAUGUGCCCAUUUUACAAAAGAGAAACCAAGGCCAGAAAAGCUGAGCUCUCCUACCCAAGGCCUCAUAGAAUCACCAUUAUUCCAAAGGUUGUGGAUUUGAGAGGAACGUGUCACUAAAACCCCACACUUACAUUUAUGAAAAAUAUUCCCUACUACACCAGCGCAGCCCAGAAAUGGGCCAACGAGAUGGACGGUUCAUAAAUGGCAUUACAUUUGGGAAGUCUCAGGGAGAAGAGAACAUCAAUUCGGCUUCAUUUAACUUAAGUUCCCAGAAAAAAUCUCCCCUAACCUCUCCUCGGGGCUCCCGGUAACCCAAUGUCAGGCCAAUUCCCUGAACUUCUACUGAGAACUCAUCAUUUAAAGGAGAUGAGUGGACGAAAAUCAUGGUAAAUCCUUUCAAGGGGAAAGAAGUAGGUGGAUGGGUCAUCCUUAGUAAGGUGUUCAGGAAUCCUAGGACCAUGAUUUCAGCUCUGCAGAAAUGUUCAGUAACCUUACAACUAAUUGUCUGAGAAAGUGAGCCAGUAUCAGGCCUUGACACUCAAAUGAGGGUAACUCCUGCAGAUUUUAUGCAGAUGAUCCAAGGGGCUAAUUCUGAAGGUGUGGGUGGGUAGAGGGGGACCAAGAACCGGGUGUGUUAUUGCCCGGAGGCCUGAAGCAAGGUGGGAGGGAGAGGUGACAGGAACCUGACCCAGGAGUUGAAAGGUUCAGGGACAAAGCCAGACCACAUGACCUUGCAGGGAGGGGUCAGGAGAAUAAAUAUGCUGGCCUCACACUCUUUUCCCCUCUCCAGUCUACUGUGGGCCUCCCACUGGCCAAACCCAAGCAGAAGCCAAGGAGGAGUCCUCUUGCUGCCAUACAGGCCAGAAACUUAGAAUCAUCGCUGGACACCUACCUCUUAGGUAUCACUCUGACCCUUCCACUUCUCGCCCAUACCCACCGCCCCCAGCAACCUCGCUCGCUCAACUACAGCUGUGGCCUCCCAGGGACGGUCGCCUCGCAGUUCCUGCCCUCCCAUCACCCAACCUCCACCCGGCAAGAUGAGCGAUCCUCUCAAAAGAAAGGGGACAGCAGAGAUACCUUACUGACUGCUGCAAAUCCUGGGUCUGGGUGUGGAAAUGCCGAGAAGGUAC
Molecule: long non-coding RNA, 2391 nt
Organism: Mirounga angustirostris (Northern elephant seal)
Lineage: Eukaryota; Metazoa; Chordata; Mammalia; Carnivora; Phocidae
Exons: 4
Source: RefSeq, a predicted model, not a curated record